CCGUGAGGAGGGAGGGCCGGUGCCGUGAGGAGGGAGGGCCGGCCGGGAGCGGGAGCGGGCACGGGCGCGGCGGCGCCGCGAGGUGAGCGGGCCGGGCUCGCCUCUCGGGCGGCACGGACGGGAGCACGGCUGCCGCGGCGUUCGGCUGCCGCGGCGGUGGGAGGCGUGUCCCGGGAGCCGGACGGGCGGGGCGCUCCGCGGGAGCGCUGCCCUCAGCCCGGCAGGUGCGGCGCGCUGCUGCCCGGCUGCGCGGCUGCCGUACGUACAUAUAUAUAUUACAUACGUGCAUAUAUACGUAUAUAUACACACGUCUGUCUAUGUGUAUAGUGCUUCUGAGGGUGGAUUGGUUUGUUUCCCUUAAGGGUCCUCUCGUUUGGUCAUAUCCCAGAGAGCUUGGGAUGCUCUCCCCCCCGCAGCGGGGGCAGGGACGUGCCCGUAGUGUGGGGACUUUGGUUUAGGAGUUCAGUUAAAUUUCGUGCAUCUCACAGAACAUACGGCCAGGCUUUUGCUGCUUUAUUUGUAAUAGCGGCCAAACACUCUUGAAAACUAAAGCCGGUAAGUAUGCCUGUCCUCUAUCUCAGUGGUGUGGAGAAGACUGGAUCUGGGAAAUCUUUUGGAAAGGAUUCUAAACCCUGAGUGGGGGACUAAAAAUACUCUGUGUGCUGUGUGUCAUGACAUAAGUAAAAUAAUCUGUUUUCCUGUCCUAGGUAAGUAGAGUCAUUGUUGCUAAUAAUUGAAGCUGCAAAGCUCCCUCUCCUUUAAAGUCUAUGGCAGUAUUGCCUGAGUCAAGGCUACAAGAUUCAUCUUACCUUGUACUGCUUCUUACAAGUGUACAGCACUUACUACAUAAAUGAAAUACUACUCAAAGUGUAGAGUAUUUGCCAUCUCUCUUAGAAAUCCAAAGAGAACAUAUUGGUUAUCAGGAAAUGGAUGAAUCCGUAUCCUCCAGAGGCAGAGUUCAGCUGGGGAAAAAUGUCAAGAUACGGAGAACAGAUAUCAAUGAACACAAACAAUACUGCUGUGAGAAGAGAGCUGGGACUACUCAAGGCUCACAUGAAUUCCUACAUGUUGGGCCUGAAAUAAAAUCUGAGGAUGAAAAAUUGAUGCUUUACUUCAUAAAUCGCACAAGUCUUGGAGUUCACCUGUCUCCUGGAAAUCUUGGUCAGCUCACACCAAGAAAUGGCAUCCACUGAUCUCUGGGACAGAUCUGUUCAUGUGGAGCAGAAGAGUUCAAAAGAGAAGCAUGACAUGGAACUCCCUUGCCAAGGGCAGAUGAAGAGCCUCUGUUACAGUGAACUCAGAGGAGAGACACUGUCUUCAUUGUCUUGAAAAGAUAAAACCAGAGAGAAGUACAAAGAGAGUUUGAAGAGCCCUGUGGUCCCAAAGGGCUGCCUGCCCCUUCUUUUAGCAGCUUUCAAGACCUGUCUCGUGCUGCUCAAAAUUGGUCUGUCUUCCAAGCCUCAUUGCUGUCUGACCACCAGCUUGAAUUGAGCAGGGCUAAAACAGAGCUGUUAAUCUUUUUCUCUGAGCUACCUCCCUACCAUGUCCUUCAACACUGCAAUCCUGCUUGCUCCUUAGGCCAAACUGGAAAACUGGAACUGUGAUGAACUGGAACAUUUACUGGCUUUGGACUGGAGAAAUAACUUUGCUGUGUGUAAGCCGAGCCCCUUACCCGAUGGCAACACUUCAGCUGGCAUGCAUCAGGAUAGGGUGUUUUCUUGAAUUGAUUAUAACCUGGUGGAGCUGCUGGGGGUGGAGUCUGCACACAGCUGCAAGAUGCUUGGCAAUCUCCAUCUGCCCAGCACAGAGGAGGAGCAGGUAGGUUAAUCCCUUUCCUCCACUCCUUAUUGAGCAAUUAGGCCAUUAAAUAAGUUCUUCUCUACUGAUACC
This is a non-coding RNA of Taeniopygia guttata (zebra finch), 1890 nucleotides long. Lineage: Eukaryota; Metazoa; Chordata; Aves; Passeriformes; Estrildidae. The record is from RefSeq and is a predicted model, not a curated record.